UUCAACAUCACUAAUCAAAAAAGAAGUGAAAAAAAUUAUAUAUUAAAUACCUCACAUCCAUUGAAAUAGCUAUGCCCACCCCCCAAAAAAAGAAAAAACUAGAAAACUACAAGUGCUGAAAAGGAUGCGGAGAAACUGGAACCCUUCGUACUCAGUGAAAAUGUAAAAUGGUUACAUCUCUGAUAGAAAAGAAUAUGGAGGUUCCUGAAAAAGUAAGUAACAAUACCACCAUGUCGUCCAGAAAUCCCACUUCUGGCUGUGUAUUCAAAAGACUUGAGAGCAGCCUCAAAGGCGGUUUUGUAUACUCAUGCAUUGUUCACAAUUGCCAAAAAGUGGAAGCAGCCCAAAUGUCCACUGAUGGAUAAGCAGAUGAAUAAAAUGUAGUAUAUAUAUAUGUAAGUGGAAUAUUCAACUUUUAAAAGGAAGGAAAUUCUGAAAUAUGCUGCAACACGGAUGAGUUGUAAGUAAAGUAAAAUGUUAAAUAAGCCAGGAACAAAAAGAUACUGUGUGAGCUAUCUAGAUUAUUUAAAUACACAGACACAGAAACUAGGAUAGUGAUUGCCAAAGGCUUGGGGAGAGUGAGAUGGGGGGCUACCCAGUGUUUUGCAAGAUGAAAAUGUUCUGGAAGUUGGUUGCACAAUAAUAAUGUGUGUAACUAUUGAAAUAUGCACUGAAAAAUGGUUACAAUGGUAAAUUUAUGUGUAUUUUACCACAGUUUUUUUUAAAUGCCCCCUAAAAAUCUAACCCAAGAAAGAUUAACAAAUGAAAUAUUUGUGGUGGCUGCAGCUAGAGAAGGAGAGGAAAACUCAUCACGGUAGCAGAGGAUUUCAGCUCCUGUGAAACCAGAAGUAUGUUAAGGGCAGUUUGUAUGCACCUAAUAAACCCAAACUCCAAAUGCUCUCUCCUCCUGGGUCUCAUCCAUAAAAUGUAGGGCACUAGAGAUCAAGUAGCUGGUCAGCCCUGAGAUUUGCACCAAGGGCCAAAACUCACAGGGAAACUUGACCUUGGGUUUUAACUUCAGCUUGUCAAGCACUCAUUUCACUAAGACCCUAGGGCUUCAUCAUGCUGAGGAGCCGAUGAACUUGAAAGCAGCUAUUUUUCUAUCAACACCAACGUUAGAUACUUAAAUCCUAUUUGAACUCAGAACUUCCUUUGAGAGGCAGAGUAAUAAGCAAGAUGAACUAAAGAAUGGUUUUCUGCCCCAGGAAGUCACAGAAGGGGUAGGUGUUGCGUCGUCAUCUGGAGAUUGGCUGGGGACCCAGGUGCUCAGUGUGGUAGAAGUCAUCUAUCCUCUGAUCAUCUGUUCCGUCACCUAUAUGUGACGUUGGAAGAGUAAAACUGUACGAGGAUGGAUUUGAGAAUGAGCCAAGCCCACGCCUGCCAGGUGACCAGUGUUUACUAAAUGUCUCCUCAGCUUCUCCCGCCAGUGUCCCAUCCUCUUGUAGCCCCAUAGCCAGACCACCCUCCCUUCCCUGUGAGGCCAGGAAUGUAAAGUGCUUUUGGCAAUCUGGAACUAAUUGAAGUCUGAUAGGUAAAACAAAAAUUGAGCCUAUAUGUUAAUUAAAAUUGGAAAGAAAAUAGAAAUCAUAGUUUUGUGUUUUUACCACCUUUUUCACCGGAAGCCUAUGCUGCUGACUUUCUCUCAUACAAGGCCUGGUAAGUCCUUCAUUCUGAGAACCACCAAGGGUGGCGCCGAGCUAGACUGACACACCUGCUCUUCUCUGGUUGGCGGUUGUAUGUGAGAGCCAUAGCAGAGACUGUGAGGCAGGAUGGCGUCACCCACUACCAAGCAGAGAAAGGAGGGUGCCAGCAUCAGGGAACAAAAUGAAUGGCCUGCACUGUAAAAUCCAGGUCAAGAAGGUCUGUUAAAUCCUAGAAGACGUUGUGUUUGCCACUCACUGAAUUCCUGAGGCAGCUGGCUGGGCUGCACUGGUGUGUCCCUUCCUUAGUGUCAGCAUACGAGGAAAGGCCUCCGUCCACAUCAGAGUUUUUUGUACAUGGUAUUGUUCACAUGAGACUCUGUGUCAACAUCUGUUUCUGGCCCUGUGUGGUAUCAUGGACUUUAAUGGAAAACAUUGAAUGGUUUUCCAUAGACAAAUGUAUGGUUUUUCUAUAAACAUGCACCCUUAGGUCCCUGCUGUGUGCUAGGCAUGGUGAGGAUGCUCUGAAAAAGCAUCAGGCAUCAUCUUACUAGUAGCAUCUAGCAAAGACCUUGGUGUGUAACGGCCUCUACAGCCAGGGACUCCUGCUGCUACAGGAACGCAUAUCCUGAGGUGCUGGGCAGUUGCUGAAUAACUUGAGCUUCUGACAUGGCCUCUCAUAGGGUCUUUGGUUCCUGUGUCGGUCAUGUUCCCAUGAACCCUUUUAGCAAGAUCUCAAUUGUGAAAGCACCAUUUCUACUGGCAUAACAUGUUGAACACAAGAUAAACUCUCAGUUUAUCCCAAGUUUGCACUUAAGAGGAAUAGAGAAAAGGAUGUCGGGUGACUGAGUGAUUUGCAUUUCUCAGCUGUAUGUCCAAGUUUGUUGGGAAGCGGUUCUUUGUAUAUAAUAGAUAUAACCCUUUGUCAGAUAUAAGCUUGGCAAUAUUCUCCCAUUCUGUAAGUUACCUUUUUAUUCCCUUGAUUGUAUUUUUUUGAUGUACAGAAGGUACUUUUGUAGUAGUCUGGUUUUUCUGUUUACUUUUGUUGCCUGUGAUUUGAUGUCUUAUCCAAAAAUGUCAUUGCAAAUUCACUGUCAUGAACCUUUUCUUUCAUGUUUUCUUCUAAGAGUUUCAUUGUUUGUUUUAAGUAAGUUUCAUUGUUUUAAGUCUUACAUUAAUGUGUUUGAUCCACUUUUUGUAUAUCGUGUAUGGUAAUAGUCUACCCUUGUGUUCUCUUCAAAAUUGGUAUGUUGAAACCCUAAUGCCCUAUGUGAUGGUAUUAGUAGGUCAGCCUUUGAGAAUUGUUUACAUCAUGGGGACUUUGCCCUGAAUGGAAUUGCUGCUCUCAGAGGCUCCAGAGAUCCCUUGCCUCUUCCACCAUGUGAAGACACAGCAAGAGGGCACCUGCUAUGAGCCAGGAAGAACGGCCUCACCAGAAGGAACCACACUGGCACCUUGAUCUUUGACUUCCCAGUGUCCAGAACGGACUUCUGGUGUUUUGUUCAAAGUAGUGAAAGCAGACAUCUACAUUCUUGGUUCCUGACCUCGUCAGUCUUUCAUCAUUGGAAAUGAAUGACAUCAUGCUUGUGGCCUUUUCAUGUAUGAUCUUCAUUUUGUUUCCUUCUAGUCCUGGUGUGUUGAGUGUUUUUAUUGUGAAAGGGUCUUAAGGUUUGUCACAGAGAUGACCAAAUGGGGUUUCCCCCCAUUGCUCUGCAAACAUGUAUUACAGAGACUGACUUUUCUUCUGUUGAGCUAUUUGCGCUUUCCUGGAAUAAAUCUCACUUGGUCAUCAUGUAUCAUUCUUUUAAUGUGCUGGUGAAUCCUGUUUGCUAUUAUUUUGUUGAGGAUUUUUGCACUUAUUUCUUUUCUUGCUGCUUUUACAAUUCUGUCUUUGACUUUUGAUUAAAUCUUGGUGUGGGCCUCUUUGGAUGUAUCCUACUUUGAGUUUUUUAACCUCUUGUUUUUGUAUUCGUUUUUGCUAUGAUCUGAAUGUUAGUGUGCCCUGGAGCUCACCUUGCAGUUCUUGAGGUAUGGCCUUUGGGAGUGCUUCAGUCAUAAGGGUGUAACUCCCAAGAAUGGGAUUAGUGCCUGACACAGGAGACUCCAGAGGCCCCCAAGCCCUUCCCACCACAUGAAGAUAUGAAACGUCUGUGCCUGGCAGAGGCCCUCACUGCCCUGGCACCCUGAUCUUCCAACUCGGAAGCCUCCAGAACUUGCCUUAACACACUGCAUCCAACAGAGUGGUCCUUGCACUUCGUCAGAGGUGGGUGGGCCCAGGUAAAGGUAAGACGUUGGAAAGCCACACAGAUUUUUAAAAGCUGGAUGUGUGUAGAUGGCAUCUAGUCUCAACUUCAUGAAAAAGGUCACCAGGUCAAGCUCUGAAGAUCUUUCUAAAAAAGCAUCUUACUUUCUGCUCCUGUAAAGGAGUAAAAACCAUUGCCUAGGUGUUCGGUGUAUCAUUGGUCUAAAGGUGGUGAACACAGGUCUAGUGAGCUGUGAAAGCUCUAGUGGACUCUGGAGAAAAUUUGGGGUUAGAAUUGAUACAGUUUUUCUUCUCUUGCUCUUACCUUUCAGUGAGCCUAAAACCAUCCUUUAAUACCAGGAUCAGAAAAUCCAAGUCUUUGAUCUGCGACUUUUUUUCUUUUGUACAAAGAUCAGCUAAAAACCUAUUAAGAUGAGGAGAGUGAGAAGAGAAGGGUAGGGGCAAAAGCAACCCACAGGCUACUUGUACCUGGUAAAAGCAUCAACAACAAAACCCUCAUCUCAGAAACAUCCUCAAAGCUUAGGUGCUGAAAUAUUAAUAGUCAAAGGUAAAAUUUAAAUUGCUUUUUCACCAGUCUGCUAAAACCAUCUUUUUAAGCAGAAGGCAUGUAAGAAUUUUGCAUUUUCAAAAUUUUAGCGAAUUCCAUUCUGACACUUUUUAUAGAUUUGUCCUACUUUUUGUGCACAUGUUAUGCAUAUGCUUUGAAAACAUGCACUCCAAAUACACCGCCUCAUUAAUAUACCAACGAGAAAAUCCUUCAGAUCUUUCAUUGUAACCCAGUUUCCCUUUAGAGUUCCUGGCCAUGAGAUGAGGAAAAAUUAUUGAAACUUUUUGAGAAACGAUUUUCUGAUACUUGACUUCCACCCUCACGACAAAGGGUUACCCCUUCCUCAAUUUCUGACAUCAAAAAGUACCUCCAGACAUUUUCAAAAUGUUCCCUGGGGAACAAGACUGCCCUCACUUUCUGUGACAAUGGAAAUAUUCUGUAACUCUAAUAUGAUAGUGUGACUGGGAAAUAGAACUCUUACCUUUACUAUUAAAUCCUACAUAUAUACUGUGAGGACAAAAAUGCUUCAGCAUGAAAAACUGAGUUGGAUACCUUUGUUUAGUAGUCAUAACUCAAAAUUCACUUACAGCACCUUUUUAGCAUUUCUUGCGUUUAUUAAAUAUCUCCUAGAAAGAAAAUAACCAAGUCAGGAUUGAAAAACAUUUAUUGAAUCAAAAUCAAAUACUUUUUUAUUAUCUACAAGCCAACACUGAACUUACUUUAUUCAAGAAUGAACACAAUGUACAAAAAAAGUAUGCUUAUAUUAUAAAAAUAUGUCAAUUUUAUCUCCUGGGUGCUGAGCAGAAGUCAUUUUAAACAAAAUCAAGGCAAACUUGCUUUCUAUAAUAGAACUGCUAUAAUUUAAUAACAAAAGUGAAAGCUAAUAUAUACUCACAAAGUAUCUUUAAAGGCCCACUGAUAAUGCUGCAUCAGAAAUGCUGAACCCAAUCAGCAUAGUUCACAUUUCCACUCUAUGCUCAUUGGCACCACUUCACGCCUACAUCACAGGAAAGCACCUCUUUUAAGAAUGCAUGUCAUUAGUUAACAGUUGUUAGCACAUGUUUCAG
Long non-coding RNA from Cervus elaphus (red deer), 5517 nucleotides. RefSeq lists it as uncharacterized. The transcript is spliced from 3 exons. The record is from RefSeq and is a predicted model, not a curated record. NCBI's taxonomy places the organism in Eukaryota, Metazoa, Chordata, Mammalia, Artiodactyla, Cervidae.